GUCUUUUUGAUAAUAAUUUAAAGUCUAAUCUGCCCACUGAUAAAUUAUUAAAGGGCUGCAGUAUUAUGACUGUACAAAGGUAGCAUAAUCAUUAGUUUUUUAAUUGAAAACUUGUAUGAAAGAUUUGAUGAAAUAUAAACUGUCUCUUAUUUAUUAUUAGAAAUUUAUUUUUUAGUAAAAAAACUAAAAUUUGUUUAAAAGACGAGAAGACCCUAUAGAGUUUUAUAUUUAUAAUUUAUUUUAUUUUAUAUAAAAAUUAAUAUUAAAUUAAAUAUAAAUAUUGUAUUGGGGUGAUAGAAAAAUUUAAUUAACUUUUUUUAAAAAAUUAACAUAAAUAAAUGAUUAAAUGAUCCAUUAAUAAUAAUGAUUAUAAGAAAAAAUUACCUUAGGGAUAACAGCGUAAUAUUUUUUUUUAGUUCAAAUAAAAAAAAAAGUUUGCGACCUCGAUGUUGGAUUAAGAUAAAAUUUAAAUGCAAAAGUUUAAAGUUUUGAUCUGUUCGAUCAUUAAAAUCUU
This 514-nucleotide ribosomal RNA is filed under the name Argestina pomena. RNAcentral's name for it is "partial 16S ribosomal RNA". The stretch from base 391 to 514 matches the Rfam family "Bacterial large subunit ribosomal RNA", at positions 2473 to 2597 of the family's 2925-position model. Lineage: Eukaryota; Metazoa; Arthropoda; Insecta; Lepidoptera; Nymphalidae. The record is from RNAcentral.